GUAGCAAUACUUAGUGGCAGACGGGUGAGUAACAUGUGGGUAUCUUCCCUUUGGCCUGGAAUAACACGAGGAAACUUGUGCUAAUACCGGAUAAGUCUUUACAGAGAAAGCUUUAUGCACCAUUGGAUGAGCCUGCACUUGAUUAGUUUGUUGGUGGGGUAAUGGCCUACCAAGACUGUGAUCAAUAGCUGAUUUGAGAGGAUGAUCAGCCACAUUGGGACUGAGACACGGCCCAAACUCCUACGGGAGGCAGCAGUGGGGAAUCUUGCACAAUGGAGGAAACUCUGAUGCAGCGAUGCCGCGUGAGUGAAGAAGGCCCUUGGGUUGUAAAGCUCUUUCGUCGGGGAAGAAAAUGACUGUACCCGAAUAAGAAGGUCCGGCUAACUUCGUGCCAGCAGCCGCGGUAAUACGAAGGGACCUAGCGUAGUUCGGAAUUACUGGGCUUAAAGAGUUCGUAGGUGGUUGAAAUAGUUGGUGGUGAAAUCCCAGAGCUUAACUCUGGAACUGCCAUCAAAACUUUUCAGCUAGAGUUUGAUAGAGGAAAGCAGAAUUUCUAGUGUAGAGGUGAAAUUCGUAGAUAUUAGAAAGAAUACCAAUUGCGAAGGCAGCUUUCUGGAUCAUUACUGACACUGAGGAACGAAAGCAUGGGUAGCGAAGAGGAUUAGAUACCCUCGUAGUCCAUGCCGUAAACGAUGUGUGUUAGACGUUGGAAAUUUAUUUUCAGUGU
RNAcentral lists this ribosomal RNA (727 nucleotides) under uncultured marine bacterium. RNAcentral describes it as "bacterial SSU rRNA". It matches the Rfam family "Bacterial small subunit ribosomal RNA", at positions 82 to 846 of the family's 1533-position model. The record is from RNAcentral.